This 497-nucleotide ribosomal RNA is filed under the name uncultured bacterium. RNAcentral's name for it is "partial 16S ribosomal RNA". It matches the Rfam family "Bacterial small subunit ribosomal RNA", at positions 28 to 507 of the family's 1533-position model. The record is from RNAcentral.
GAUGAACGCUGGCGGCGUGCCUAAUACAUGCAAGUCGAGCGAAUAGAUGAGGAGCUUGCUCCUCUGACGUUAGCGGCGGACGGGUGAGUAACACGUGGAUAACCUACCUAUAAGACUGGGAUAACUUCGGGAAACCGGAGCUAAUACCGGAUAAUAUAUUGAACCGCAUGGUUCAAUAGUGAAAGACGGUUUUGCUGUCACUUAUAGAUGGAUCCGCGCCGCAUUAGCUAGUUGGUAAGGUAACGGCUUACCAAGGCAACGAUGCGUAGCCGACCUGAGAGGGUGAUCGGCCCCACGGGAUCUGAGACCCGGUCCAGAGUCCUACGGGAGGAAGCAGUAGGGAAUCUUCCGCAAUGGGCGAAAGCCUGACGGAGCAACGCCGCGUGAGUGAUGAAGGUCUUCGGAUGGUAAAACUCUGUUAUUAGGGAAGAACAAAUGUGUAAGUAACUAUGCACGUCUUGACGGUACCUACUGAGAAAGCCACGGCUAACUACGUG